This is a long non-coding RNA of Oncorhynchus keta (chum salmon), 718 nucleotides long. RefSeq lists it as uncharacterized. NCBI's taxonomy places the organism in Eukaryota, Metazoa, Chordata, Actinopteri, Salmoniformes, Salmonidae. The record is from RefSeq and is a predicted model, not a curated record. The transcript has 3 exons.
GAGGGAUAACCAAUAAGGAGGUACAGAGAGAGAGGGAUAACCAAUAAGGAGGUACAGAGAGAGAGGGAUAACCAAUAAGGAGGUAGAGAAAGAGAGGGAUAACCAAUAAGGAGGUAGAGAAAGAGAGGGAUAACCAAUAAGGAGGUAGAGAAAGAGAGGGAUAACCAAUAAGGAGGUAGAGAAAGAGAGGGAUAACCAAUAAGGAGGUAGAGAAAGAGAGGGAUAACCAAUAAGGAGGUAGAGAAAGAGAGGGAUAACCAAUAAGGAGGUAGAGAAAGAGAGGGAUAACCAAUAAGGAGGUAGAGAAAGAGAGGGAUAACCAAUAAGGAGGUAGAGAAAGAGAGGGAUAACCAAUAAGGAGGUAGAGAAAGAGAGGGAUAACCAAUAAGGAGGUAGAGAAAGAGAGGGAUAACCAAUAAGGAGGUAGAGAAAGAGAGAGGUAGUGAGGAAGGUAGGUAGAGAUGUACUAAGAAAGAGAUGGAUUAAGUAAAGGAAGCUAUCAGGGAAGGACAAAGAAGUGGAAAAACAUGAUCUCAAACAACAAAUUAAGGAAUAUAUACACAGUUGCUUCAUUAAUCUUACAAGGUUCAAGCAUCACUUCCUAUUACAUAGGACAGUAUUUGGCCUGGCCACACAGUCAUUACAUAGGACAGUAUUUGGCCUGGCCACACAGUCAUUACAUAGGACAGUAUUUGGCCUGGCCACACAGUCAUUACAU